This 122-nucleotide transfer RNA is filed under the name Caudoviricetes sp. Its description in RNAcentral is "tRNA-OTHER". It matches the Rfam family "tRNA". Rfam says of the family: Transfer RNA (tRNA) molecules are approximately 80 nucleotides in length. Their secondary structure includes four short double-helical elements and three loops (D, anti-codon, and T loops). Further hydrogen bonds mediate the characteristic L-shaped molecular structure. tRNAs have two regions of fundamental functional importance: the anti-codon, which is responsible for specific mRNA codon recognition, and the 3' end, to which the tRNAs corresponding amino acid is attached (by aminoacyl-tRNA synthetases). tRNAs cope with the degeneracy of the genetic code in two manners: having more than one tRNA (with a specific anti-codon) for a particular amino acid; and 'wobble' base-pairing, i.e. permitting non-standard base-pairing at the 3rd anti-codon position. The record is from RNAcentral. Lineage: Duplodnaviria; Heunggongvirae; Uroviricota; Caudoviricetes.
UCACUGGUAGCCAAACGGAUAAGGCACUGGAAGUUGAGCAGAAUCAACGGACAUGUGAACGCAAUAAAAGCGUCAAGGUCGAGGACAUCAGAGAUUGUGGGUUCAAAUCCCACCCAGUGAUA